RNAcentral lists this ribosomal RNA (468 nucleotides) under uncultured bacterium. RNAcentral describes it as "partial 16S ribosomal RNA". It matches the Rfam family "Bacterial small subunit ribosomal RNA", at positions 28 to 507 of the family's 1533-position model. The record is from RNAcentral.
GACGAACGCUGGCGGCGUGCUUAACACAUGCAAGUCGAACGGAAAGGCCCUGCUUUUGUGGUGUUCUCGAUUGUCGAACGCGUGAGUAACACGUGAGUAACCUGCCCUUGACUUUGGUAUAACUUCAGGAACCUGUGGCUAAUACCGUAUCGGAUCUCCUGCUGCAUGGUAGGCGUUGGAACUUUUCGGCUGUUGGGGAUAGACUCGCGGCUUAUCAGCUUGUUGGUGGUGUAGUUGCUUGCCCAGGCUUUGACGGGUAGCCGACCUGAGAGGGUGAACGGCCACAAGGGGACUGAGGGACGGAGCAGACGGGUAUGGGAGGCAGCAGGGGGGAACAUGGCACAGUGGGAGGAAGCCGGAGGAAGAAACGUCGCGGUCGGGAAGACGGCUUUUGGGGAGUAAAAAGCUGUAGCCUGUGACGAAGCGGGAGUGACGGUAAUGGGUAAAGAAGCACCGGCUAACUACGUG